GACGAACGCUGGCGGCGUGCUUAACACAUGCAAGUCGAACGGAAAGGCGCUGCUUUCAGGGUGCUCGAGUGGCGAACGGGUGAGUAACACAUGGGUGAUCUGCCCCUUACUUUGGGUUAAGCCUGGUAAACUGGGUCUAAUACUGGAUAGGACCAUGCUGUAGGCGGUUUGGUGGAAAGUUUAGUUUCGGUAAGGGAUGAGCUCGCGGCCUAUCAGCUUGUUGGUGGGGUAAUGGCCUACCAAGGCGUCGACGGGGAGCCGGCAUGAGAGGGUGGACGGCCACAUUGGGACUGAGCGAGGGCCCAGACUCGGACGGCAGGCAGCAGUGGGGAAUAUUGGACAAUGGGAGCAAGCCUGAGGCAGCGAGGCCGCGUGGGGGUUGACGGCCUUCGGGUUGUAAGCUCCUUUCUGCAAUGACGAAGGCUCGGCGUGACGGUAGUUGUAGAAGAAGCACCGGCUAACUACGUG
RNAcentral lists this ribosomal RNA (468 nucleotides) under uncultured bacterium. RNAcentral describes it as "partial 16S ribosomal RNA". It matches the Rfam family "Bacterial small subunit ribosomal RNA", at positions 28 to 507 of the family's 1533-position model. The record is from RNAcentral.